GAAUAUGCUCUCACUUUUAACUACUCUACUCAGGGAAGGAGAUGUCUCCUUUUUAAGAUAAAAGUUAAGGUAUAGUACUUACAUUGACCCAUAGAUAAGUCAACCCAGGUUUUUGAGUGUUAUUUUGUGACUAAAAUUUCUAGACUUAUACAUGAGGAUAGACACUAGACAGUAAGAAACAUUAACACAAAAAAUAGAAAUAACUUUAAAAAAACCCCAUACAUUGCACAUAUGAACUGAGCCCAAAUAUAAGUAGUGACAAAGAGUGCAAAUAUUUCAGUCUCUUGAGAUUAAUUCUCCUAGUUUCUGCUGCAUAGUGUAUGUGACGGGAAUGGAAACACAACUUGGAUCAAAGUUAACUGAUAUAACUGUGCAUAAUAUCAACUAAAUAUCAGUUGGUUCUAAAAAUGUCAGUUCAUGAAUUUUACCCAUUCCUUAGACAAAUCAGAAGGCCAAAGAAGAGAGAAACCUGAACAUUUUAAAAGUAAGUGAAAAUGAAGGAGAACAGGAUUGUUCUUGCCAAACUGGGAGGGCAUGGCAGUGUCCAUACUUCUCCUCAUGACAUUUUAGUUGGGCCCAUGUCAUUAGCUCUUGCUUUGGCAUCAUCUCAUUUACACUUAUGUGAAGUAUCACCAAUUACUCAGACAGAUCUACAGCCAAAUGUUUCUGCAUGUUCCCAGGUCUCCUUCGAGUCUGCACGUUUUUGUUGGCCAGGGCAGGACAUUAUAAUGUACAGUCCCCGAAGGAUCAGUCAGAAUGGAUGCCUAUUGUGGAUGCCUGCUCUGAAAGAAAGAGAAUUGGCAUUCGUUCUUCCUCGUGCAAGGAAAACUUACUCUGUACAUUCUCCAAAGUUCUCUGCUUUACUUAGAGCACUAGAAUACUAGUGAGACCCACAAACAUUCUGGGUGUGGAGUGGGGAAAGUGAAACCGUGGAUAUCGAAUCUGUCGAUCAGUCGUUUGUACUAUACUAAACAUAAAGAGACACACAUUACGACUAGUAUCAAGAUUUUUUUUUUAAAACCAGAAGUUUUUGUCUUUUAAUUACCAUGUAAGGAGUCUGGGAAGAGUAAUAAUUUUGGAAUUAUCUCUGACAUAUUCAGCAGACAAACAUAUUAGUUUAUCUCGAAUUUUUAGAGCUGGGACAAAAAUGGCUUCCUGUGGUGGUAGACUUAUAACUAAGCUUUUCAUAAACAAUAUCCUUUCAUGUUAGCUAAGAAGGCAAAGGCCAAGUUUGGGAAAAAUGCAGCUUUUCUAAUGUUCCAUUCCAAAUCCACAUUACAACAAUACCCAAUGCCAUAGCCCUGUUUGAGCAGGAGAUAUCCAGCUUUGACUAAUAAAGUUUCAGGGAACAUUGGCUGCCUUGUCAGAACAGGGCACUAGAAAAAGUUAGCAGGAGACUAUAUAGUAUGGAUUGAAUAAAUCAAUUAGCUUUAUCAAAUUAUUAUUAUUAUUAUUAUUAUUAUUAUUAUUAUUAUUAUUAUUAUUAUUAUUAUUAUUAUAUUUUAUGACACAGCAAACAAGAUAGAUGUGCUGGAUUUUGUUUCACAAAAUCACAAGUCGAACACUUCCCAAGUGUCUAGGACUGUAUGAUGUAUUUUUGGAUGAUGUGCGCAGAUCCCAGUAGGGUGGCCUUUUGCAGAUGGCAGAUCGUAAUUUUGUCAAUGUCUAUUGUUUCCAAAUGCCGGCUGAA
Long non-coding RNA from Anolis carolinensis (green anole), 1690 nucleotides. NCBI's taxonomy places the organism in Eukaryota, Metazoa, Chordata, Lepidosauria, Squamata, Anolidae. The record is from Ensembl.